Molecule: long non-coding RNA, 4614 nt
Filed under: Orbicella faveolata
Lineage: Eukaryota; Metazoa; Cnidaria; Anthozoa; Scleractinia; Merulinidae
Description: uncharacterized LOC110054606
Source: RNAcentral
UUGGCCUUUCUUCUUCGUUCGCCAUGUUGCUUUAAUUACCGCGAGGGCUAUUAAGCCUCGUUUCAGUGCAACUUCCGGUUUUUUCUGGAAUCGGUGUAUUGCAAAAACUGCUUUGCAUUGGACGCCAGAAGGAAAACGCAAGAGGGGCCACCCUAAGAUCACAUGGCGGCGGAUGGUGGAGAAGGAAAUCAAGGAGAUGGGGAAGACCUAGGAAGGCAUCAAGUUUAUGGCAAGGGACAAAUGUGGAGGGAACAUAUUGCUGCCCUACAUGCCACGUAGGCGUAAAGGGCAUGAGUGAGUGUGCACUGCAACAUUACGAACUGAGAUGGAAAAAGAGAUGCUGAAAUUACAGAAGAAAUUUCUUCAAGAAACCCGCAAGCAGACAGAAGAUCACGUUAAGAUGGCGUUCAACACUUUGCUGUUUCCUUGAAUGUAUUCUGAAGAAGCUGUUCUCAUCUAAAUGAGUAUUAUUGGUUGUUAAUAAUGGGUAAUAACCAUAUUGAUACUUGAUGAUUUAACAUUACCAAUUACAGUAUAACUCCGAUAAAAUGGCCAUACUGGGGAUGUCUCUAAAACGAAGACCUCUAAAACGAAGAUCUAAGACCCUAAGAGCCUAAGGCCCCAAAAACUCUAAAACGAAGACCCCCUAAUUUUCUAAGCGUUUUUUAUCUUUAGUGAAGUUUUGCUCCUUCUUUAUCCGGCCAAUAACGCGAUAACAACAACAACAAAAUUAAACCGCGUUAAGAUUUUAACCGCCAUCUUUAGCUGAGCAACCAAGCUCUCACACUUUGGCCGGUAGUGGCAUUUGUAGUAUGAAACCUCCAUUUGGUGCUAAAAUUCAGGCCCGGGUUGUUCGAAAGGUGGAUAGCCUGGGUUUUUUUUUUUAACUGUUAUCCACUGGAUAGCGAUUUAUCCGGUGGAUAGCGUUAUCCAGCCUUUGAACAACUGGGGCCAGAUAUUUUGUUAUAUACUCAAAGCCGACUUAUUUUGGGAGAACCUUUCUAAAAACUUUUAAACUGUAAAGUAUAAAUAAUUCUGUCAGCGUUCAAAACAGUCUGCAAAAAAUGUUUAGUUCUAUUCAUUAUGAAGUAUUAGUCAGUAUUAAAUCAAGGAAACAGUCAAGAGUCCCGUCAUUUACGGCUAUCUACAGAUUUACACGGAAAGAUUGCAUACCUGGGAGGCUUCGGCGUCCAUUCAUAAACUACUUUUACACUGACUAUAUAUAUGAUGAUUGCUUCGCAAGAAGCAUGAAACUUGGAGUGGCAAGUAAAUGUGUUUUAACUAGUUUGACAAAUCUUUCUGUCUUGUUCAUAGCUUUUUAUCUGAAGAAAGCGAUAGGCCAAAACGUCAUUACACUAGUCGGAACUGACAUGGGUUCGUUGAUCUCUUUCCGGCAAUUUCCAAGUAUACAUACUUUCUGAUCUUCUAUGAACUUAUACCUAAACCAUAGUACAAUACAAGGUAACAUUCUUUAUUUCACAUGAUGCGACCACUUUCUUGUCUUUUCUGUGAUGGCAAAGCACGUGCUCUCUCUUCCUCCACAUGAUUGACAGAAGGAAGCAAAUCGGUGGGUAGCCUAACUUCCGGCCAAGUGUGGGAGCCUGGUUACUCAGCUCAAGAUGGCGGAUAAAACAUUGACACCAAUAUGAUCAAAAUUGGCCACAUAAAGAAGGAGCAAAACUUCACUAAAGGAAAAAAAUGCUUAGAAAAUUAGGGGGUCUUCAUUUUAGAAUAUUAUGGGGUCUUAGGGUCUUCGUUUUAGAGGUCUUCAUUUUAGAGACACCCCCAUACUGGUUUAAUAUCUGAUCCACAUUAUUAUUGCAAUAUUUAGUCUUUUCUUUUUAUGCAGAAUUGGCUGGAUCAAAAAUGUUUUCCUGUGGCAAUUUGUUAUAUCGGAGCUGAACUGUACUUAUAUCUUUAGUUUAUGUUCAGUACACCAUGCAUCUGACAUAUUUAUUGUAGCUGAAACAGCCUUUGUAUUUAAAUUAUGUAGCAAUGUAGCAACUUUCUUGCUAAGGUAUUGACCCAAGUGCACUGUUAUAUUGUUAUUGUAAUUAUGCAAAGAAAGUGGAAACGCAUUUGAAGUUAAUAUGUAUAAGUUUAUUUAUUUCUAUAGUAUUUUUUGAAAUACAUUGAACAAAGAACGUUUUUGCUCUGAAGAUGAGCCUAGAGGAGAUUAUGGUCUUCAAAUAAAGGGUGACGAUGAUCAAACAUAUCAAACAUUGGAGCAAGUCAUGCAAAGAAAAUAUUUUGCCUGUCUGCAUAUGAGUAACAGCCAUUUGGGAUAUUUAGGUCCCUGACGAGGGGACUACGAGUUACUUUCAACUUCUUAUAUUUGUGUCAGUAAAUUUAACUGGGAAUAAGUGUCAAAAAUUAAUUGUGGCAUAUACACCCUCAAACAAAGACUCAGUCACUGCACCACCCCCCCCCCACCCCCCUUCCAAAAAGGUCUCAAUCCUUUUACCAUAUUUAUUCGAUUAACUGCCUUGAGUGCUCAUUGAAUUCUUGGACGUUGAGAGUGCGUGCUUAUUCAAGGUGGGAGCUUAAUCGAGGUUGGGGCUAAAUUAAAUUUUCACCAUUUUCAGCAAGUGUAGUAUGUUUAUUUUGCACCAAAACAAUAAAUGGUGAUAACAAAAUGCGAAGAUGUAACAAAGCAAGGUUUCUUUAAAAUACUCUGAAGAAAACUCUGUCUUCGGGAAAGUCUCUUGUAAGUACUUAUUCAAGUUCAAUUUCAAUUUUAUCAUCACUCAAAUCAGUAAGUGAAUUUUCUGGUGCUGCCUCUUCAAUGUCUGACAUCUUAACGUGAGCAAAUGGGUUAGUAGCCAGAGAAGCAGAUAAAGCUUGCUGGAAGGAUGUUAGGCAAUCUAGGCUGGCAUGACAAGGCUGACUUUCCUUUGGGAAAUGAAUUUGGUCAUCUUCAGAUCCAUCAGGAGCCACAGUGUAAAUGCGCAGCUUCUGAAAGAACAAAUAAUUAACUCUCUAUUCAGACUGUUGCAGGCGUCAAGAAGGAUGGACAUUUAUCCAAGUUUGAGUGGGAGAGGCAGGGCGCUUAUUAACUUUUACUGCCUUCAGGAAUUGGGCACUUAUUCCAGGUUGGGUGCUUAUUUGAGUAAAUACGGUAUAUUGGGUGAAAGGAAAAACACUUGUUAAUGAGAUAAAUUUAACUUUUUGGAUGCCUUGGAAAUGUAAUUUUAGAUACUUGUUAAUAGAUUUGUGCCUUGCAGUGCAAGACAUGGACAGAAAACGAGAAGUGCUUUAAUCCAUUCAACCGAAAAAUCUAGAAUUUUGACAUUGGGACAAAUGGUAAGGAAAUUUCGUGAGAAAAAUUUCCACAAAAUUCGAAAAUGCAAACCCUUCACCAGAAAUUCUCAAAAUUUUGAGGAAAAGUUAAGCUGUAUUUUCUGACCAGGGGCAUGCUUGAACGUCCCUCCAUAUCACUCUUCUUGUUAUUGUUUGGAUCAUGCCCUUGUUGUGGCAAGUUAUGGUCAUAAUGGCCCUUUUUUCAUACCUGGGACAUAAUUGUAAAAUUAAACGAAACUUACCUAAGUUGAAGUUUGAUUGAGAUUCUACGAAGUCAUUGGUCUGGAGCUAAGGAGUCAGGUGAGAUAUGCNNGCNAAACNAGAGCGGUCACACUUUAAAGGCGAAUGAUCAGGACUGUUGUAAAUCAGUAGGGUGGGUAGCCCAGAUGGGAGGGCACCUGACUCCUUAGCUCCAGACCAAUGACUUCGUAGAAUCUCAAUCAAACUUCAACUUAGGUAAGUUUCAUUUAAUUUUAGAAUUCUACUUCGUCAUUGGUCAGUGUCGCUAAGGAGUCACAUGAGACUUAAAAGUGUCAUGAUCAUGAGCAAAACCAUGAACAUCAAUCUAUUUAAUGCAAUAUAGAUGACAAUAGGGUGCUGUAACAAGGUACACACCACAUCAAAAUGUCAUGUCUCUUCAAGUAAGCUUACAGUAACAGUAACAAUAUGGUAAACAAUUCUGGUUGAAACAACUGUGUGAAAAGCAUUUAACAGCUACUAUGCAGUAGUUCAUGUCCAAAAUUUGCGGAAGUGUCUUGGAUGGGCUUGUCAUAAAACCAAGCAAAGGUGCUCUCACUACUCCAACCUGCUGCAGACAUGGUAGUGUCAAUAGGGACCUGUUUCCCCUUUGCAGCUGAUGUGGCAGCUGCUCUUGUGCUACGUGCUUUAUAUACACUAGUGUCAAUUCCUGCUUUGGCCAUGGCAUUCUUGAUCCAGUGAGCGAUAGUGUCAGUUGACACAGGCUUGUGAGGCUUCUGAUAGCCAAUCAGCAACUGGUCAGUUUCUCCUCUUAAGUGAGAUGUUCUGUCGAUAUAGGCGUGCAAAUGUUGUACAACACACAGGUUCUUCGUAUGCCAAAAACUCAAUUCGACCUAGGUGCUUGCCCGGCCAAGUGGUCUUGAGUGGUGUUUCAGUGGUAAAUACACGUGUUUGCAGUUAAAGUCAUUGAGGUCAGAUUAAGCGCCUUCAGCGUCUGUACUUUCUGGCCAGACAAGAGGGCAAGCAACAUGGUAAGCUUCCAGGACAGAUCUCUCAGACUUAAAUCCACUCCAAGAGUCCAGGUGGCAAGUACCUUUAGGGCAGAGUUUACAUCCC